Long non-coding RNA from Poecilia latipinna (sailfin molly), 208 nucleotides. RefSeq lists it as uncharacterized. Lineage: Eukaryota; Metazoa; Chordata; Actinopteri; Cyprinodontiformes; Poeciliidae. The transcript has 3 exons. The record is from RefSeq and is a predicted model, not a curated record.
AUUUAUGACGGAAGACAGAGGAGUAAAGGGAGGAUGAUUGACAGCGCUAAGCCCCUCCUCCUGGCUCUGAUAGGUUGUUUCUAGGUAGCAUUGGGAGAAGGCAGAGGAAAUGAGUUUUUCUCAGAUCAUCUCUCUCCUUAGGUUCAGCAAAUACGUAAAAAAAUAAUGACAAAAGUUAAAUUCUGCAGCUUUAAAGCAGAUCUUUCUA